AAAUCUCGAACCGAAGCCCUCGACCUCGUCGGAGCUCGGUUUCGGACCGUGGGGGUCUGCGGGCGGCAACGUCGGCUCUCCUCAAAUGCAUCAGCUGUGGGUGCGAACCUCGCACGGCGACGGCCUCUUCGACGUCAUAAUGAUCGUCGUGGGGCUGGAAGCGUGCGGGAAUCGGCAUGUCCCAUGCUUUCCAACCCGCUGCGGGACGACCGCACGCGUUUAUCAAG
RNAcentral lists this unclassified non-coding RNA (227 nucleotides) under uncultured Scleroderma. Its description in RNAcentral is "sequence contains ITS2". The record is from RNAcentral. Lineage: Eukaryota; Fungi; Basidiomycota; Agaricomycetes; Boletales; Sclerodermataceae.